RNAcentral lists this ribosomal RNA (468 nucleotides) under uncultured bacterium. RNAcentral's name for it is "partial 16S ribosomal RNA". It matches the Rfam family "Bacterial small subunit ribosomal RNA", at positions 28 to 507 of the family's 1533-position model. The record is from RNAcentral.
GACGAACGCUGGCGGCGUGCUUAACACAUGCAAGUCGAACGGAAAGGCCCUGCUUUUGUGGGGUGCUCGAGUGGCGAAGGGGUGAGUAACACGUGAGUAACCUGCCCUUCACUUUGGGAUAACUUCAGGAAACUGGGGCUAAUACCGGAUAGGAGCUCCUGCUGCAUGGUGGGGGUUGGAAUGUUUCGGCGGUUGGGGAUGUACUCGCGGCUCAUCAGCUUGUUGGUGGGGUAGUGGCUUACCAAGGCUUGGACGGGUAGCCGGCCUGAGAGGGUGACCGGCCACAUUGGGACUGAGAUACGGCCCAGACUCCUACGGGAGGCAGCAGUGGGGAAUAUUGCACAAUGGGCGGAAGGCUGAUGCAGCAACGCCGCGUGCGGGAUGACGGCCUUCGGGUUGUGAACCGCUUUCGCCUGUGACGAAGCGUGAGUGACGGUAAUGGGUAAAGAAGCACCGGCUAACUACGUG